RNAcentral lists this transfer RNA (76 nucleotides) under Chloroflexota bacterium. Its description in RNAcentral is "Chloroflexi bacterium (cold seep metagenome) tRNA-Val". It matches the Rfam family "tRNA". From Rfam's summary of the family: Transfer RNA (tRNA) molecules are approximately 80 nucleotides in length. Their secondary structure includes four short double-helical elements and three loops (D, anti-codon, and T loops). Further hydrogen bonds mediate the characteristic L-shaped molecular structure. tRNAs have two regions of fundamental functional importance: the anti-codon, which is responsible for specific mRNA codon recognition, and the 3' end, to which the tRNAs corresponding amino acid is attached (by aminoacyl-tRNA synthetases). tRNAs cope with the degeneracy of the genetic code in two manners: having more than one tRNA (with a specific anti-codon) for a particular amino acid; and 'wobble' base-pairing, i.e. permitting non-standard base-pairing at the 3rd anti-codon position. The record is from RNAcentral. Lineage: Bacteria; Bacillati; Chloroflexota.
GGGCGGUUAGCUCAGUGGUUAGAGCGCUUGCUUCACACGCAAGAGGCCACUGGUUCAAGUCCAGUACUGCCCACCA